This 857-nucleotide long non-coding RNA is filed under the name Mus caroli (Ryukyu mouse). RNAcentral describes it as "lncRNA (MGP_CAROLIEiJ_G0003015.1)". Lineage: Eukaryota; Metazoa; Chordata; Mammalia; Rodentia; Muridae. The record is from RNAcentral.
UGCUCAUUGCCCUUAGCGAUCUGUGUCUGCUCCUCCCAAUACUCCGGCCCCUCCUGCUCCAUCCACGGCGCCCGCGGCUCAGCUCUCGGAUUCUCCGCGUCGCUGUCGAAGCGCACGAACUGCGUGUCGUCCACGUAGCCGACAGCGAUGAACCGGGGCUCCCCGAGGCCGGGCCGGGACACGGCGGUGUGGAAAUACCUCAUCGAGUGUGGGCCUGGGGGCGGUGCGCGGUGAGACCCCGACCUCCUCACCAGACCCCGGGCGGCUGCGCGGGCUGAGAGGGGAGCAGGGCGUGGGGGCCAGGGCGGCCGCCAGCAGCAGGAGCAGCGUGCGUGGUGCCAUCGGGCUGCGUGGACUUUAUAUCCAGCGUCCGCAGCGACGCUGAUUGGUUCCUGGUAAUCGCGCCACCCAAUGGGGGUAAGAGCUGACGGAACCUGGUAAAGAGAACUGAGAAGCCCCUGAAGCCUGUGCUGUUGCUUGCUGAGAAACUGACAAAGCUCUCCCUAGUCCACACCAACAGAGAUCUGGGAAGGAUGAAUCUCUCCUGAGAACACAGGAAGUACAGACCAAGCAGUUUCUAAUUCUAUUAAAAAUGACAGACUUCUCCGUUUCCUAGACAACCACUGUGGUAUACUGAUUUUAUUGGGAACAGAGGACCCAGGGAAGCAUCAGUCUUUUCUGCCCAGUCCAGAAGAUCCAAAGCAAGACAAUCAACUCGCCAGUUGUCCACAGUUUGUCCAGGGUCCUGGUGACAGACUAGAUGAAAGGCAGAUUUUCACCCAGGUGGUCUGGCUUUGUCACCUUUAAAGCAAGUUCAAAGUGGAGUUCUUCUCUACCCAAUCAUCAUCUGUGAAGAC